Molecule: small RNA, 4097 nt
Filed under: Pongo abelii (Sumatran orangutan)
Lineage: Eukaryota; Metazoa; Chordata; Mammalia; Primates; Hominidae
Description: processed transcript
Source: RNAcentral
UCAGCCUCUUGAGUAGCUGGGACUACGGGCACCCGCCACCACUCCCGGCUAAUUUUUUUAUAUUUUUAGUAGAGAUGGGGUUUCACCGUGUUAGCCAGGAUGGUCUCGAUCUCCUGACCUCGUGAUCCGCCCGCCUCAGCCUCCCAAAGUGCUGGGAUUAUAGGCGUGAGCCACCGCGCCCGGCCGAGAUUGCCCCGUUUUUUCCCACUGUCCAGGAAUCGAUUUAAUUUUUACAGUUAUUUACUUUCUCACAUUUUUACUAAGUCCAGAAUGUCAUCAAACUCAUAAAACCACUGGUCAAAAAAACCCAAAUGGCCACUAAUUAGGCAAUAUAGCACCUGCCUCAAAUUUGGGUUCAUAUGGAUUUUUUUUUCUCCCUUUUUGUGGAGAACAUAGUCUUGCUGUGUUGCCCAGGCUAGUCUUGAACUCCUGGGCUCAAGCGAUCCUCCCGCCUCUGCCUCCCUAAGUUCUGGGAUUACAGGCGUGAGCCACUGUACCCAGCUCAUCUGGAUUCUUGCUGGUUCUCUUUCUCAGCCUAAAUGUCUUGUUUGCAUGGAGAAAUUAUCAAAUGAAGCAGGAGUGCCAAACAAGCCUCAUAGGCUCUUCACCCUACAACAUCUAUGUUAGGUAGAAAAGUAUGUGGAUUUUUAAAAAUAAUCUGGUAUAAAGAGUUUUUAAGAACUAUCUUCAUCAUCUUAGUAUCAGAUUGUGCUUGAGAAGUUAGGUACAAUGUAAUGUGAUUCAUUGCUAAAAACAAAAUGCCUCCCACAAUUGCAGACUCACUUGUUUUACCAAACUAUGGAAUUUGUCAACACCUUUGUUUGGGACCAAGGAAGCAAAGUCAGUGGAUACCAUGUCCUGUAGACAUGUGACCUGUGAUAAGGCACAGACAACACGAACUGGCAAAAACAUUGGCAUUUGGUCAAAUGCUUAUGAGCUAAGGAUCGAAGGGAAAAAAUAGUUGUGUGAAUAAUUUUACCUCUUAGUUCUUAUGAAGGAUGGUUAUCGAGCUGGAAAAAUGUUUAUUGGACUGAUGCUUUGGAGCCUCUCAAUGAAUGUAAUAAAAAAAAUGUGUAGUGAGCACAAAUUUAUGGAUUUGCAGCACAAUCCAACUUUGAAAAUGUGAAAAUAAGUGAGUUAGUGAUAUGUUUGGUUGGUGUUAAUUUGAGUCCUAAAUAAAAUCGAGAACUGGUAAAAAGAAGGUCACUGUGAAAUAACUUGCUAUGAGAAGGCUUAGAGGGAUGGGAAGUCCUGGACGCCUCUUCUCCAGGGUGUUGGAGGAGAGAGGGAGGUGCUAGGUUGACAAGACCGCAUCUGCGCAUUGUGGUCACCAGUGAGUCUCUCCACUGAGGCGACAGGUACAUGUCUGUCGCAUUUGCAGCCAUGGCCGAUGAGAACAGCAGCAUUCCCUGAUGUGUCUUGUUUUCUUUUGUUCGUAGUGCCUGCUGUGUGGACAACUACGCUCAGCAAAGUUUUAGGGAGACUUAGCGGAGCCACUAUGAAGAAUCAGUGUCAAACGUUUCAUCAGGAAUCCCUGUCAAGGCCGGGUGUGGUGGCUCACACCUGUAAUCCCAAGACUUUAGGAGGCUGAGCCCUGCACAGAUGCCCCCUCCCUGUCCAGUUCCUCCAGUGAGACCGAGGCUGCUGGGGGGCCUCCCUGCAGCUGCUGUGGAGCCUCUGCCUGCUGUCACGUGAGCUGCCUCUGCCCACUUUAUCCUCUUGGGUUCCUCUUCCCCAGACUGGCCACGGGGGUGGCCCCUUCCUGCCCAGCCCUCUUUCUUUGCUCCUGUGAACACCUUCCUGCAGUACCUUCAGGGGACUGUUGGGGCAGCACCUGUCCCGGGUCUGAGGCCUCCUGGUCUGCUAGCCUGGCAGGAAGCUUGGCCCCCAACACAGCCACAGGCUCCCUGGCACCAGGUUUCUUUCAGUUCCUCUAAACUGAAAGCCUCUGUUUCCCAGCCUUUGCACGUGCUGUUUGCCACUCCUCAUGCCUGGGCCCUAGUGUCCCUCCCAGGAUUUCCCUGAGCUCCCCGCUAAGGCUGGGUCCCCGUUCUAGCUUCACAGCACCUGAGACAGGUGUUGGCUGGUCUCCCCACCCCCUGUCCUAAAGACUGUGGGUCUUAAGGGGCAGGAGCGCCCAGCACUGCAGAAUGAACUGAAGCCCCUGUGGGUUGGUCUGCGCUGCUGCUGUGCGUCCAGGGUGAUUGGAGAUUCUCCAGGUGUGCUCCUGGGGUCUGUGGUGGUGGGACACCCCCUUCCCCCAGCCGCCACGCUCCCUGCAGUAACUCUUGCACUUACUGUAAGUGCUUGGACUGUCUUGUGGUUGACAUUAGGACACACACUCAGGCCAGAAUUGGGCAAGACUGUUCCUGAGCGGGGCGUGCAGGGCGCUCUGGCCUGGGAGGUGGGGCGCGGGUCUGCUUCCUCCUGCAGGCCAGCUCAGUGUGGGGCUCGUGUCUGCCCAGAGCUUGGCCAGGCAGUGCUGCCCCUUCCCUUCCUGCCACCUCUACCACCAGCCUUCCCUCAGACUGCUUUCUGGGCCUAGUCUGUGGCAGGUGUCCGGGGCACAUUCUUCUCUCUAGCCUGCCAUGAAACUGUUUCAUUUUUCUUUUAAAAAAAUUGAAGUGAAAUUGACAUACUAUCCAACCAUUUGAACGACCCCAGACAGAGGUGGUGGUUGCAUGAAUGAGCAUGUUGUACAAACAUGACCUCUAGUUCACUGCAUUGCCCCACUCCUAAAAGAAAACCUGUCCCCAGCAAGCAGUUGCUCCCCAUUCCUCUCUAUCUUAUGGCUUUGGGUUUCAUUUUCAUGUUUUUUUGAGACAGAGUCUUGCUCUGUCACCCAGGCUGGAGUGCAGUGGCAUGAUCUCUGCUCACUGCAACCUCCCCCUCCCGGGUUCAAGCGAUUCUCCUGCCUCAGCCUCCCUAGUAGCUGGGAUUACAGGCACCCACCACCACGCCCAGCUAAUUUUUGCAUUUUUAGUACAGACGGGAUUUCACCAUGUCUGCCAGGCUGGUCUCCAACUCCUGACCAUAGGUGAUCCGCCCACUUUGGCCUCACAAAGUGCUGGGAUUACAGGUGUGAGCCACUGCGCCCGCCAGUCUGUGACUUCUUUAAAUACAAACUGGAUCAUGUUUCUCCCCUGCUCUAUGCCCUCUCUUCAUCUUUCAAGUCCUAAUUCAGAGAUCACCUCUUCUGGGACCCACUGAGCUAGUCCCAGCACCUCCUUCCCUUGUCCCCCCUGCUUCUAGGAACCACAUUUCUGGUGUGGCAUUGGCUGUACCGUUGGGGAUGCUACUGCUCCCUGGUAGGCUGCCAGGUCUUGAGCGUAGGGACUCUAACUUGUCUUUGUCUGGCAGGGGCCUCACUCAGCACCUGGCACAAUAGUAGGUGCUCAGGGAACUGAAUGAAUGGAUCAGGGUCUGAGGCGGGCAAGGGCUGCGGCGGUGAGCUCUGACCCCCUGGGUGGAGCGUGAGGAGGCCAUGUUGGCCUUCAGGGUGCACCCCGAGACCAGACAUGGGGUCCAAGCUGCCUAGGGCUGAGCGUUUAUCUGACACGUGUUCUGAAAACCUGGUCGUGGUGUAGGUGCAGCCCCCGGCCCUGGUCAUUUGGAAGUUUGUGUCCAAAAAAACCCACAUGGCUACUAUAGCACCUGUGAGCCAAUGGGGUCCUCCACCUGCCCACCUGCCUGCAGAAGAAACGCCGAACACUGCCGCCUAGUGGUCAGGGCCAGCUGGACUCCCUUCCCACCCCGCCGGGUCCUCAAAGAGGAGGACCCACUCAGGCCCUUUUCCAUCAACCCUCAAAGCUUGGGGUGAGCGAGAAGGGGGAGCUGCCCUGUCCUUGGGGUCAUUGCAGUCGUCUGCUUCCAACCUCUUGCCCCCUCAGUGCCUGCUGUCCAGCGGGAGCAGCUCAGGGCUCUACCUCCCCUGCCGCCCUAGACUUUGGGGAGCCUCCUUGCACCAAGCAGCUUGUGCGGUGCCGAGUCCUACUUGCACCACGUUGUCUUUACCUCUGGCAUUUUUUUUAUUUAAACAUGGGAGGCAGAGCUUGUGGUGAGCCAAGAUUGCGCCACUGCAAUCCAGCCUGGGUGAC